GACGGCCAUACCAUUUUGAAAACACCGGUUCUCGUCCGAUCAAUGACGUUAAGCAUCAUCGGGCGCGGUCAGUACUUGGGCGGGUAACCACCUGGGAUAACCGCAUGCCGUU
Trichonephila clavipes is the source of this 112-nucleotide non-coding RNA. The record is from the annotation of a GenBank genome assembly. Lineage: Eukaryota; Metazoa; Arthropoda; Arachnida; Araneae; Nephilidae.